GAUGAACGCUGGCGGCGUGCCUAAUACAUGCAAGUCGAGCGAACAGAUGAGGAGCUUGCUCCUCUGACGUUAGCGGCGGACGGGUGAGUAACACGUGGAUAACCUACCUAUAAGACUGGGAUAACUUCGGGAAACCGGAGCUAAUACCGGAUAAUAUAUUGAACCGCAUGGUUCAAUAGUGAAAGACGGUUUUGCUGUCACUUAUAGAUGGAUCCGCGCCGCAUUAGCUAGUUGGUAAGGUAACGGCUUACCAAGGCAACGAUGCGUAGCCGACCUGAGAGGGUGAUCGGCCACACUGGAACUGAGACACGGUCCAGACUCCUACGGGAGGCAGCAGUAGGGAAUCUUCCGCAAUGGGCGAAAGCCUGACGGAGCAACGCCGCAUGAGUGAUGAAGGUCUUCGGAUCGUAAAACUCUGUUAUUAGGGAAGAACAAAUGCGUAAGUAACUAUGCACGUCUUGACGGUACCUAAUCAGAAAGCCACGGCUAACUACGUG
RNAcentral lists this ribosomal RNA (497 nucleotides) under uncultured bacterium. Its description in RNAcentral is "partial 16S ribosomal RNA". It matches the Rfam family "Bacterial small subunit ribosomal RNA", at positions 28 to 507 of the family's 1533-position model. The record is from RNAcentral.